RNAcentral lists this ribosomal RNA (226 nucleotides) under uncultured bacterium. RNAcentral describes it as "partial 16S ribosomal RNA". It matches the Rfam family "Bacterial small subunit ribosomal RNA", at positions 524 to 746 of the family's 1533-position model. The record is from RNAcentral.
UACGUAGGGGGCAAGCGUUGUCCGGAUUUAUUGGGCGUAAAGAGCUCGUAGGUGGUUCGGUAAGUCGGGUGUUAAACCCCCAGGCUCAACCUGGGGACGCCACUCGAUACUGCUGUGACUAGAGUCCGGUAGGGGAGCGUGGAAUUCCUGGUGUAGCGGUGAAAUGCGCAGAUAUCAGGAGGAACACCAGCGGCGAAGGCGGCGCUCGUGGGCCGGAUACUGACAC